Callithrix jacchus (white-tufted-ear marmoset) is the source of this 3935-nucleotide long non-coding RNA. RefSeq lists it as uncharacterized. NCBI's taxonomy places the organism in Eukaryota, Metazoa, Chordata, Mammalia, Primates, Cebidae. The record is from RefSeq and is a predicted model, not a curated record.
UUUUUUUUAUUUUUUGAGAUGGAGUCUCACUCUCACCCAGGCUGGAGGGCAGUGGAGCCAUCUCAGCUCACUGCAACCUCUAUCUCCCGGGUUCAAGGGAUUCUCCUGCCUGAGCCUCCCGAGUAGCUGAAGUUACAGACGCGCACUACCAUGCCUGGCUAAUUUUUGUAUUGUUAGUAGGGACGGUUUCAUCCAUGUUGGCCAGGCUAGUCUCAAACUCCUGACCUCAAGUGAUCCACGCACCUCGGCCUCCCAAAAUGCUGGGAUUAUAGGCUUGAGCCACCGCGCCAGGCCCUGGCCUGAUCUUUAAACACAGUGUUGUCUUGAGGAUGGCAGGAAUCAAAGUCCCCAGGUUAGCCUUUCUUCCGCUUUGUUCUAUUGGGUCAAACUUUAAAAAGAGAGAUACCCCUUCUGGCCAUUUGGGGCAGGGGUGUGGGGACAGAGAGGUGUGGAGGAGAGAAUAUAUUGAAAGACAAGGCCUCCGAGACAGCUGAAGCCCAGUGACUGGCUACCGGGCUCUGUCUUGCUGCCGACCGGCCAGCAGAAGGCUGGGGGAGAGCGGCGUAAACAGAGGCAUCUGGUCCCCCAGCAUGGAGCAGCGGGUCCGUGAACCGUGGCAGAUGCAGCCUCAGCUGUGAUUGGGCACGAGGCCUCGGUGUCCAAGCCUGGGUCACGCGCGGGGCCCAUUUUAACUGUGACAGUGCAGUGUCAAACUGCCAUUCUUUCUUUCUCAUGCGUUUUUUUUGCCUCUGAAAUCUGCCAGCUCGCGGAAGCAGCCUAGACGUCGGCCCCUCGGGUUCCCAGGCUGGAGGAGGCAUGCGGGGGAACAAGCAAAGGAAGAGGCUGAUCUCUGCACUUUCCAAAAGCUGCUGUUCUGGGACCUGGCAGAAAAUUGGAGUUCAUGGAUUCCAAGCAGGCAUAAUGGCUCUCUGCAAGACCAAGGAAUGGGCAGAAUAAGUCCUGUGUGAGUGCAGACGCCACAACCUUGUGCAGUUGCCAUUCGUGCCUCCAGCAUGUGGUUCCAUUGCUUCAUGGCCAGGAGGACCCCUCUGCCCAAGGACACCCAAGAAGCACAUAGUGAAGCACGCACGGAGCUCUGAUAUCUGCUUUUGUGAUUUUGAAGUCUCCUGGUUGUACGACUUUGGCGUUCUCUAAGGAGUUACCCACAUUACUUCGAAGCUUCUGGGAUGCAGUGCCCUUAUGGAAUCCCAGUGCUGGAAGCCUGUUUCCUGGACCCCGUUACCUUGGGCUGGUGCUGAAGGUGCAGAGCCUGCUGUCAGGGGUACCUGUCCUCUGUCCCAGGCCACCACUGCAGAGGGGCCUCUUGGAGAAUCACUUGUGUCCAUGAAAAACACUCAGCAAAAAGAUGCCGAUGAUGUUGACACAUGUUCCAGCAGGGUCAGAAUGUCCAGCGUCCACAUGAAAACACCGCAAGACAGCCACGGAGGAGAAAGGCUCUGGAGCUGUGCCCUCAGAAGCCGUUUUCCCUUCGCGCUCUGCUGCCCUUGUCUGUCAGCCAUCUGCGCCCUCACUUUCCGAAACCGUAAUGACAAACCUGUAACCAUCAAGGGAUCUCUCACAGGGGUGGCCUUGCCUCUGCCACUCCCUGUCACCAAUCUGGGCCUCUCUUGGGGCUAGGGGAUGAGAAAGUUCAGGUGACUCAACAGCAGCCUGGUCAGCCGGUAAGGGAUUGGCCCUAAGCCUAUCUGUCCUGGAUGCCACCGGCAGGGCAGACCACAGGCUGAGCAGAGAGGCUGGAAGAGACCAGAGCACUGAGAUUUUCCAGGGGACAGAAGAACAUGCUCAGCUCUAGGUGGGGGCCUCCUGUUGAGAUUCCCAUUCCCUGUCUCACCAGGACAGACCAAGGAAGCAGCCUGUGCUUCCCCAAAGCAGGCACUAGUCCCUGGCAUUGCCACCUCCAGCCACCUGUGUAGCUUUGAUUGUGGCUGCCGACCCUCCUGGGCCUUAUGCAGUAGAAAGAAGAGAGAAUGGAUAAUUUGCAAGUGCCCUUGCCUGACAGCAUUCGUGAUACUCAGAUACAAUUUUGGACCUGCAGUCUUUGUCCCAGGUAGUGGCCUACCUGUGUGCUCUGUCCUGUUGGUCACCAUGAAGCCUGAGCGUGGAUGUGAAACACAUUCUUUGUGCUUUCAGUCGAGGCAUUUCCCCUGCCCCUCUCCCCUCAGCAAGUGAUGUGCAGCCUGUAGUGUCUAAAGACUUGGAAUAUUCAGCUGCUUGUCCUGAGCUCAGAGCUUGCCUGGCUUGUCAACAGUGGCAGGAGGGAAGGCGGAAGGUUUGCGGAGAGCUCCUAAUCCCGUGUGAGCAGAAAGAAUGUGGCUUGAUUUCUUUCCAGGCAUUCCAGCUUUUUUGCUGGGCUUAGUUAAAAAUGACAGAAUGGGAACUGCUUUAAGAGUGAUUUUCUGAUGUCCCCAUAAAUAACGAGACUAGUUUGUGUGUUGGUUUUGAGGACUAUCUUGCUACUCUAGUUUGGCACCUUAACUGGAUCUUACUUGGAAACUAUAUCUAAUGCCUUUUCCCACAACUAAGCUCUGCCGGAUAAAAGUGAAUUCACAUUUUUGAAAAACAUGGCAUUUUUCACCCAUUGCUUGGUGAGCCUACUUCAGUGAAUGUGGUAAUCUUCUUACUGAAUAUUGUGUGUGCAGAAGAGGGGUGGGGCAGUGAGGAGGCAGGAAAUACCUACUGAGGGAAAUAUACUUUCCCAGUUAAUGCGCUAUAUGCCCAGGGAGCAAAACCAUCAAUUGAAAGACUCUUCCCAACCAUUACCUUGCACUUGGCAAGUUCAUCAGGUACCCUUCCAUAGCAGAAGGAAAAACCCCCCGACACAUUUUUUUCUGGCUGGGUUCCUCAGUGCCACAGGAGGCCCCGGGGUGGGGGGGGGUCUAGCUAGCAGGCUGAGGCUCUCUUGUACCCAGCCUCACCUGCACACCUGGGCAUUCAGCAAAGACCAGACACCUUAAAGCAGAGGACAGCAUGGAAGCUCUGUUGUUCAUCAUCUGAACUUUAGUAAACGGAAAUAUUGUCCAUGAUUGGAGAGGAGCCUCUUCCUUGAAGGAGCCACCUGCCCUCUAAGCUGUAUAUUUCACAAGGUUACAUUUUUAUGCCUGGUUUCAUCAGUUUCCCUUAGAGAACACCUGUAAAUAGACCAUCACUGAGGGCUAGGCAAAUUCCAUCGUGUAUUUAAUCUGCUCUCUGCUUACCAAUUGCUCACCUGGACUCCAAUACAUAUAACAACAUAAUUUCUCAGGACCUUGUGUAUGUUCCCAUUAGGUUCUGUUUAAUCUAAUUGCUGGGACCUCACUUCAGUGGUUGGCUGGAUGCAGGGAACUUUUUUUGGCAGUGAGCCAAGGGUUCCUUCUCAUUUUGCUUCUGAGGUCUUAAGAGUGUCUUUCUCCAGGAACCUUACCAAGACCCUCCCAGCUGUCCCACCCCCUUCAAAGACCGGCUUACACUUGUUUCCUUCUGCACAAAGCCCAUGCCAGCUAAAAUCAAGUCAGGUGGGCAGUUUAGCGAGCUCCUUUGCUUGUGUGACAUAGCCCUGAAGAUUUCCAAAAGCAGCUCCAUGCUCCAGAACACACGUCUAAGCUUCAACCCUGUGCCUGCAGAAUGCACUGCCCUGCUACAGACAGAGGUUGAACGGUCUGACUUUGCAUUGUGGACACUGUAUGUAAUUACCUUUUAUCCGUUUCCUCCUGCAGGACUCUUCAGUGCCUGCUGGUACUAUUUUUUAGGAUAUAAACUCCUUAUAUGGAGCAAGUCUGCAAAUCUUGCUUGGCACAAUGGCCAAAAACAUGCUACAUGCAGGCAGAUAAGUAUUUUGAUGGCACCUGGAACAGCUUAAAUUUAUUUAUAGCCUUUGGCCCUUCUGAAAAGCAUGAUAGGCUGUAAUUUUCUCAGUUAAAUAAAAAAAAUCACACACG